Molecule: ribosomal RNA, 330 nt
Filed under: uncultured eukaryote
Lineage: Eukaryota
Description: partial 18S ribosomal RNA
Rfam family: Eukaryotic small subunit ribosomal RNA
Source: RNAcentral
CCCUUAGAUGUUCUGGGCUGCACGCGCGCUACACUGAUGCAUUCAACGAGUCUAAAACCUGCUCUGAUAGGGGUGGGUAAUCUUUUGAAUGUGCAUCGUGAUUGGGAUAGAUGAUUGCAAUUUUUCAUCUUCAACGAGGAAUGCCUAGUAAACGCAAGUCAUCAGCUUGCAUUGAUUACGUCCCUGCCCUUUGUACACACCGCCCGUCGCUCCUACCGAUUGAAUGAUCCGAUGAAUAUCAUAGACUGAGAGUAUAAGCAGGUUCGCCUGUCUUUGCUUCUCGGGAAGUGAAGUAAAUCUUAUCAUUUAGAGGAAGGAGAAGUCGUAACA